UACGUAGGGUGCGAGCGUUGUCCGGAAUUAUUGGGCGUAAAGGGCUCGUAGGCGGUUUGUCGCGUCGGGAGUGAAAACUCAGGGCUUAACCCUGAGCCUGCUUCCGAUACGGGCAGACUAGAGGUAUGCAGGGGAGAACGGAAUUCCUGGUGUAGCGGUGAAGUGCGCAGAUAUCAGGAGGAACACCGGUGGCGAAGGCGGUUCUCUGGGCAUUACCUGACGCUGAGGAGCGAAAGUGUGGGGAGCGAGCAGG
This 253-nucleotide ribosomal RNA is filed under the name uncultured bacterium. Its description in RNAcentral is "partial 16S ribosomal RNA". It matches the Rfam family "Bacterial small subunit ribosomal RNA", at positions 524 to 776 of the family's 1533-position model. The record is from RNAcentral.